AUUGAACGCUGGCGGCAUGCCUUACACAUGCAAGUCGAACGGCAGCACGGGAGCAAUCCUGGUGGCGAGUGGCGAACGGGUGAGUAAUAUAUCGGAACGUGCCCAGUCGUGGGGAUAACGUAGCGAAAGCUACGCUAAUACCGCAUACGAUCUAUGGAUGAAAGCGGGGGAUCGCAAGACCUCGCGCGAUUGGAGCGGCCGAUAUCAGAUUAGGUAGUUGGUGAGGUAAAGGCUCACCAAGCCGACGAUCUGUAGCUGGUCUGAGAGGACGACCAGCCACACUGGGACUCGAGACACGGCCCAGACUCCUACGGAGGCAGCAGUGGGGAAUUUU
RNAcentral lists this ribosomal RNA (334 nucleotides) under uncultured bacterium. RNAcentral's name for it is "bacterial SSU rRNA". It matches the Rfam family "Bacterial small subunit ribosomal RNA", at positions 30 to 365 of the family's 1533-position model. The record is from RNAcentral.